This 447-nucleotide unclassified non-coding RNA is filed under the name Hevea brasiliensis (rubber tree). The record is from RNAcentral. Lineage: Eukaryota; Viridiplantae; Streptophyta; Magnoliopsida; Malpighiales; Euphorbiaceae.
GUGGGCUUAACAGUAGUUUUCUGGAAUAUUAUCUUUAUCUUCGCAGAUCCUACAAGCUCAAAUUUAUGGGCCAAUAUGGCGGUCGCCUCCAGCGGGGGAAGCGGCCAUGGAGUAUCAAACUGGAGUUCCGCAAUAUUAUCAAAAUCUCUACUGAGAACAUCGAUCCGUUGAAAGACCUGUCCCAGAGUAAUUGGAAGUAGCCUUCCGGUUGGAGGCCCCGGGCGGCUUCCACCGAGUGUUCGAGAAGAGAAAGCGCUGCUGUAAAUCAAUUUCCAUCGUCCUUGGAGUUUAUCCAAAUCGAUAUAAAGAUCGACAAGCCCCCCUGCAUCCUCAAGUUCCUUGGCUGCAGAUUCUGCAUUUCUAAGAUCAUCUUCUUUCGCUGCAAGGCCUCUAUUUAAUCCCGAAACGGCACUCAGCAGUUUAAUCUUCAGCAAAGCGACAUCCUCU